Long non-coding RNA from Oncorhynchus tshawytscha (Chinook salmon), 361 nucleotides. The record is from Ensembl. NCBI's taxonomy places the organism in Eukaryota, Metazoa, Chordata, Actinopteri, Salmoniformes, Salmonidae.
CUGAAAUCUAACUCAGGAGCUGACCUCAAUGACCCAGUGGUAAAGGAACAGAUGUUGGAGCAGAUCAGAAAUGAGCUGGCCAAGAACGGAAACUUCAUCCUAGACCUAUGCUGGAGAGAACUGCCUAAUUGAGAUAUUUUUCGCAAAACAGUUGAACUUGAAAGCCCUGAAGAAUGUACACACUUUGUGUCAGGUCAGUGUGGGUCUGGAUGAAGAAGACCAGCCAUGAUGAUGCAACAGGAGAGGGAUGGAAGGUCAAAGAACUAAAAUAGUCCAUAAUAAAUAAUAUAUUAAAUUAUUUUUAGUUUACGUUAUUCAAGUUGUGAAAGUUAGCUUUCUCUCAUGAAAUACGAAACAAAAA